GAUGAACGCUGGCGGCGUGCCUAAUACAUGCAAGUCGAGCGAACAGAUGAGGAGCUUGCUCCUCUGACGUUAGCGGCGGACGGGUGAGUAACACGUGGAUAACCUACCUAUAAGACUGGGAUAACUUCGGGAAACCGGAGCUAAUACCGGAUAAUAUAUUGAACCGCAUGGUUCAAUAGUGAAAGACGGUUUUGCUGUCACUUAUAGAUGGAUCCGCGCCGCAUUAGCUAGUUGGUAAGGUAACGGCUUACCAAGGCGACGAUGCGUAGCCGACCUGAGAGGGUGAUCGGCCACACUGGAACUGAGACACGGUCCAGACUCCUACGGGAGGCAGCAGUAGGGAAUCUUCCGCAAUGGGCGAAAGCCUGACGGAGCAACGCCGCGUGAGUGAUGAAGGUCUGCGGAUCGUAAAACUCUGUUAUUAGGGAAGAACAAAUGUGUAAGUAACUAUGCACGUCUUGACGGUACCUAAGCAGAAAGCCACGGCUAACUACGU
RNAcentral lists this ribosomal RNA (496 nucleotides) under uncultured bacterium. Its description in RNAcentral is "partial 16S ribosomal RNA". It matches the Rfam family "Bacterial small subunit ribosomal RNA", at positions 28 to 506 of the family's 1533-position model. The record is from RNAcentral.